This 493-nucleotide ribosomal RNA is filed under the name uncultured bacterium. Its description in RNAcentral is "partial 16S ribosomal RNA". It matches the Rfam family "Bacterial small subunit ribosomal RNA", at positions 27 to 507 of the family's 1533-position model. The record is from RNAcentral.
GAGUGAACGCUGGCGGUAGGCCUAACACAUGCAAGUCGAACGGCAGCACAGUAAGAGCUUGCUCUUACGGGUGGCGAGUGGCGGACGGGCGAGGAAUACAUCGGAAUCUACUUUUUCGUGGGGGUUAACGUAGGGAAACUUACGCUAAUACCGCAUACGACCUACGGGUGAAAGCAGGGGAUCUUCGGACCUUGCGCGAUUGAAUGAGCCGAUGUCGGAUUAGCUAGUUGGCGGGGUAAAGGCCCACCAAGGCGACGAUCCGUAGCUGGUCUGAGAGGAUGAUCGGCCACACUGGAACUGAGACACGGUCCAGACUCCUACGGGAGGCAGCAGUGGGGAAUAUUGGACAAUGGGCGCAAGCCUGAUCCAGCCAUACCGCGUGGGUGAAGAAGGCCUUCGGGUUGUAAAGCCCUUUUGUUGGGAAAGAAAAGCAGCAGGUUAAUACCCCGCUGUUCUGACGGUACCCAAAGAAUAAGCACCGGCUAACUUCGUG